GGUGUGGCGCAGUUGGUUAGCGCGUCAGAUUGUGGCUCUGAAGGUCGAGGGUUCGAAUCCCUUCAC
This 66-nucleotide transfer RNA is filed under the name bovine gut metagenome. It matches the Rfam family "tRNA", at positions 5 to 66 of the family's 71-position model. From Rfam's summary of the family: Transfer RNA (tRNA) molecules are approximately 80 nucleotides in length. Their secondary structure includes four short double-helical elements and three loops (D, anti-codon, and T loops). The record is from RNAcentral.